UGGGGAAUAUUGCACAAUGGGCGAAAGCCUGAUGCAGCGACGCCGCGUGAGGGAUGACGGCCUUCGGGUUGUAAACCUCUUUCAGCAGGGACGAAGCGCAAGUGACGGGACCUGCAGAAGAAGCACCGGCUAACUACGUGCCAGCAGCCGCGGUAAUACGUAGGGUGCAAGCGUUGUCCGGAAUUACUGGGCGUAAAGAGUUAGUAGGCGGUUUGUCGCGUCGUUUGUGAAAACCAGCAGCUCAACUGCUGACUUGCAGGCGAUACGGGCAGACUUGAGUACUGCAGGGGAGACUGGAAUUCCUGGUGUAGCGGUGAAAUGCGCAGAUAUCAGGAGGAACACCGGUGGCGAAGGCGGGUCUCUGGGCAGUAACUGACGCUGAGGAACGAAAGCGUGGGUAGCGAACAGG
This 409-nucleotide ribosomal RNA is filed under the name bacterium. RNAcentral describes it as "partial 16S ribosomal RNA". It matches the Rfam family "Bacterial small subunit ribosomal RNA", at positions 355 to 776 of the family's 1533-position model. The record is from RNAcentral.